GACGAACGCUGGCGGCGUGCUUAAAACAUGCAAGUCGAACGGACUUCUCAUGAAGCUUGCGAUUGAGAAGUUAGUGGCGGACGGGUGAGUAACGCGUAGGCAACCUGCCCCUGAGCCCGGGAUAACAGUUCGAAAGGACUGCUAAGACCGGAUAUACUUGCGGUGAAGCAUUUCACUGCAAGGAAAGGGAACGCUCAGGGAUGGGCCCGCGUCCCAUUAGCUAGUUGGUGAGGUAACGGCCCACCAAGGCGACGAUGGGUAGCCGGCCUGAGAGGGUGAACGGCCACACUGGGACUGAGACACGGCCCAGACUCCUACGGGAGGCAGCAGUUGGGAAUCUUCGGCAAUGGGCGCAAGCCUGACCGAGCAACGCCGCGUGAGUGAUGAAGGUUUUCGGAUUGUAAAGCUCUGUCUUCCGGGACGAUAAUGACGGUACCGGAGGAGGAAGCCACGGCUAACUACGUG
RNAcentral lists this ribosomal RNA (465 nucleotides) under uncultured bacterium. RNAcentral describes it as "bacterial SSU rRNA". It matches the Rfam family "Bacterial small subunit ribosomal RNA", at positions 28 to 507 of the family's 1533-position model. The record is from RNAcentral.